This 69-nucleotide transfer RNA is filed under the name Tupaia belangeri chinensis (Chinese tree shrew). RNAcentral describes it as "Tupaia chinensis (Chinese tree shrew) tRNA". It matches the Rfam family "tRNA". Rfam says of the family: Transfer RNA (tRNA) molecules are approximately 80 nucleotides in length. Their secondary structure includes four short double-helical elements and three loops (D, anti-codon, and T loops). Further hydrogen bonds mediate the characteristic L-shaped molecular structure. tRNAs have two regions of fundamental functional importance: the anti-codon, which is responsible for specific mRNA codon recognition, and the 3' end, to which the tRNAs corresponding amino acid is attached (by aminoacyl-tRNA synthetases). tRNAs cope with the degeneracy of the genetic code in two manners: having more than one tRNA (with a specific anti-codon) for a particular amino acid; and 'wobble' base-pairing, i.e. permitting non-standard base-pairing at the 3rd anti-codon position. Lineage: Eukaryota; Metazoa; Chordata; Mammalia; Scandentia; Tupaiidae. The record is from Rfam by way of RNAcentral.
GUAAAUAUAGUUUAAAUAAAACGUUAGAUCGUGAAUCUGAUCAUAGACGUUGAAACCUCCUUAUUUACC